This 505-nucleotide ribosomal RNA is filed under the name uncultured bacterium. Its description in RNAcentral is "bacterial SSU rRNA". It matches the Rfam family "Bacterial small subunit ribosomal RNA", at positions 772 to 1274 of the family's 1533-position model. The record is from RNAcentral.
ACUGAAUAGAUACCCGGGUAGUCCACACUGUAAACGAUGAAUGCUAGGUGUAGGGGGUAUCGACCCCUUCUGUGCCGGAGUAAAGCACAAUAAGCAUUCCGCCUGGGGAGUACGGCCGCAAGGUUGAAACUCAAAGAAAUUGACGGGGGGCCCGGCACAAGCAGCGGAGCAUGUGGUUUAAUUCGAAGCAACGCGAAGAACCUUACCAGGUCUUGACAUCCAGUAAAAUCUGUAGAGAUACAGUGUGCCUUCGGGCGUACUGAGACAGGUGGUGCAUGGUUGUCGUCAGCUCGUGUCGUGAGAUGUUGGGUUAAGUCCCGCAACGAGCGCAACCCUUGUGAUCAGUUACUAACGGGUAAUGCCGAGGACUCUGAUAAGACUGCCGGGGACAACUCGGAGGAAGGUGGGGACGACGUCAAAUCAUCAUGCCCCUUAUGACCUGGGCUACACACGUGCUACAAUGGCCACUACAGAGAGAAGCGAAUUCGAGAGGAAGAGCGGAUCU